Molecule: ribosomal RNA, 370 nt
Filed under: uncultured organism
Description: bacterial SSU rRNA
Rfam family: Bacterial small subunit ribosomal RNA
Source: RNAcentral
CGUAGGGUGCGAGCGUUAAUCGGAAUUACUGGGCGUAAAGCGUGCGCAGGCGGUUUCGUAAGACAGAUGUGAAAUCCCCGGGCUCAACCUGGGACCUGCAUUUGUGACUGCAAGGCUAGAGUACGGUAGAGGGGGAUGGAAUUCCGCGUGUAGCAGUGAAAUGCGUAGAUAUGCGGAGGAACACCGAUGGCGAAGGCAAUCCCCUGGACCUGUACUGACGCUCAUGCACGAAAGCGUGGGGAGCAAACAGGAUUAGAUACCCUGGUAGUCCACGCCCUAAACGAUGUCAACUGGUUGUUGGGUCUUUACUGACUCAGUAACGAAGCUAACGCGUGAAGUUGACCGCCUGGGGAGUACGGCCGCAAGGUUG